UAUUAUUUGAUGUGUUUACACAGAUCAGAAUUUUUUUUUGUUAUACAUUAGAAGGUACAGAUCAGAAUGAUGACAACUACAGAAAAACCAAGAAAAUAAACCCUAAGCUUUCCCUUCUUUAGUUUAAUUUGGAACGAGGUUCCAUGUUGAUCAACUCGCUCGCAAUUUUAUCAACUUCUUCUUUCCCCAAACAUUCAACCUUAAAGAUACCCAAUUCAAUUAUCAUCGCAAACCCUUUAUUCCCAUUACGCUGGGCCAAAGAAAUGGCAGCAUCUGCGAUCUUCGGCUUCAAGAAAUUAAGCACAUGGGUAUCAAGAUUUAAGGUCUUCAACACGUCCGGCAGAUAAAGUUCGCGCCACAUGGAUAAAGGGAAGACGAUUGGAACUCUGAUCGAGCUACGUUGUUCUGGGGUCACAAGAUCUUCAAUCACGAUUGCAGCGCCUUCUUCCGGUGGGAGUUUUAGUUGAUAUCUAUAUAGAAUGCGAAAUUCGAUAUUACAGGUUGGGAGGGAGGAGGAUGCUGGGUUUGUAGCUCCCUUGGCCUCGUACACGUUGAAAAGGCAGCUUACUUUGCUCGUCAUUGAUGCUUAUAACUUCCAACCAAUUUUUGGAUAAAUUGGACUUUCCGCUUGAAUAUUCAUCAAGUCUCCAGCUGUUCAGCCUUCAAAACUAUAUAUUAGCA
Molecule: unclassified non-coding RNA, 681 nt
Filed under: Hevea brasiliensis (rubber tree)
Lineage: Eukaryota; Viridiplantae; Streptophyta; Magnoliopsida; Malpighiales; Euphorbiaceae
Source: RNAcentral